GUGGGGAAUCUUCCGCAAUGGACGAAAGUCUGACGGAGCAACGCCGCGUGAGUGAUGAAGGUCUUCGGAUUGUAAAGCUCUGUUAAUCGGGACGAAAGAGCCUAGUGUGAAUAAUGCUAGGAAGUGACGGUACCGGAAUAGAAAGCCACGGCUAACUACGUGCCAGCAGCCGCGGUAAUACGUAGGUGGCAAGCGUUGUCCGGAAUUAUUGGGCGUAAAGCGCGCGCAGGCGGAUCUGCCAGUCUGUCUUAAAAGUUCGGGGCUUAACCCCGUGAUUGGAUGGAAACUACAGAUCUAGAGUAUCGGAGAGGAAAGUGGAAUUCCUAGUGUAGCGGUGAAAUGCGUAGAUAUUAGGAAGAACACCAGUGGCGAAGGCGACUUUCUGGACGAAAACUGACGCUGAGGCGCGAAAGCCAGGGGAGCGAACGGGAUUAGAUACCCUUGUAGUCC
This 450-nucleotide ribosomal RNA is filed under the name uncultured bacterium. Its description in RNAcentral is "partial 16S ribosomal RNA". It matches the Rfam family "Bacterial small subunit ribosomal RNA", at positions 354 to 796 of the family's 1533-position model. The record is from RNAcentral.